This 464-nucleotide ribosomal RNA is filed under the name uncultured bacterium. RNAcentral's name for it is "partial 16S ribosomal RNA". It matches the Rfam family "Bacterial small subunit ribosomal RNA", at positions 28 to 523 of the family's 1533-position model. The record is from RNAcentral.
GAUGAACGCUGGCGGCGUGCCUAAUACAUGCAAGUCGAGCGGUAAGGCUUCUUCGGAAGUACACGAGCGGCGGACGGCUGAGUAAUGCAUAGGAACGUACCCCAAACUGAGGGAUAAGCCACCGAAAGGUGGUCUAAUACCGCAUGUGCUCUUCGGAGUAAAGCUACGGCGGUUUGGGAGCGGCCUAUGUUCAAUCAGCUUGUUGGUGAGGUAAUGGCUCACCAAGGCGACGAUCGAUAGCGGGUCUGAGAGGAUGAUCCGCCAGACUGGAACUGAGACACGGUCCAGACUCCUACGGGAGGCAGCAGUAGGGAAUUUUCCACAAUGGGGGCAACCCUGAUGGAGCAACGCCGCGUGCAGGAUGAAGGCCUUCGGGUUGUAAACCUCUUUUAGCAGGGAAGAAGCGAAAGUGACGGUACCUGCAGAAAAAGCACCGGCUAACUACGUGCCAGCCGCCGCGGUAA